RNAcentral lists this unclassified non-coding RNA (171 nucleotides) under soil metagenome. RNAcentral describes it as "partial contains 5.8S ribosomal RNA, internal transcribed spacer 2, and large subunit ribosomal RNA". The record is from RNAcentral.
AACCUAGCACACCUGCGGUGUGUACCUGCGGAGGGAUCAUUAAUAAAUGUUACUUCGGUAACUUAAUUAAUCCCUAACACCUGUGCAUCUUGUCGCUUCGGCGUCAUUUUAUAAACAUCAGUGUAAUGAAUGUAAAGUAUUAUAACAAAUACAACUUUCAACAAUGGAUCU